This 829-nucleotide ribosomal RNA is filed under the name Seiridium podocarpi. RNAcentral's name for it is "eukaryotic LSU rRNA". It matches the Rfam family "Eukaryotic large subunit ribosomal RNA", at positions 87 to 943 of the family's 3401-position model. The record is from RNAcentral. Lineage: Eukaryota; Fungi; Ascomycota; Sordariomycetes; Amphisphaeriales; Sporocadaceae.
CGGCGAGUGAAGCGGCAACAGCUCAAAUUUGAAAUCUGGCCCUUGGGUCCGAAUUGUAAUUUGUAGAGGAUGAUUUUGGUGCGGUAUCUUCCGAGUUCCUUGGAACAGGACGCCUUAGAGGGUGAGAGCCCCGUACGGUUGAAUGCCCAGCCUCUGUAAAUCUCCUUCGACGAGUCGAGUAGUUUGGGAAUGCUGCUCUAAAUGGGAGGUAAAUUUCUUCUAAAGCUAAAUACUGGCCAGAGACCGAUAGCGCACAAGUAGAGUGAUCGAAAGAUGAAAAGCACUUUGAAAAGAGGGUUAAAUAGCACGUGAAAUUGUUGAAAGGGAAGGAUUUAUGACCAGACUUUUUCUGGGCGGAUCAUCCGGUGUUCUCACCGGUGCACUUUGCCCAGUUUAGGCCAGCAUCGAUUUUCGGAGAGGGAUAAAAGCUUUGGGAAUGUGACUCCUCCGGGAGUGUUAUAGCCCAUUGUAUAAUACCUUUCUGGGGAUCGAGGUACGCGCUUCUGCAAGGAUGCUGGCGUAAUGGUUAUCAAUCACCCGUCUUGAAACACGGACCAAGGAGUCGAACAUUUGUGCAAGUGUUUGGGUGUUAAACCCUCACGCGUAAUGAAAGUGAACGGAGGUGAGAGCCCUUACGGGUGCAUCAUCGACCGAUCCUGAAGUUUUCGGAUGGAUUUGAGUAAGAGCAUAACUGUUCGGACCCGAAAGAUGGUGAACUAUGCGUGGAUAGGGUGAAGCCAGAGGAAACUCUGGUGGAGGCUCGCAGCGGUUCUGACGUGCAAAUCGAUCGUCAAAUCUGCGCAUGGGGGCGAAAGACUAAUCGAACCAU